UACGGAGGUGGCGAGCGUUGCUCGGAUUUACUGGGUGUAAAGGGCGCGUAGGCGGUUCUGCAAGCCUUACCUGAAAUGUACUGGCUUAACCAGGGCACGUGGUAGGGAACUGCAGAACUUGAGGAUGGAAGAGGUGAGCGGAAUUCCCGGUGUAAGGGUGAAAUCUGUAGAUAUCGGGAGGAACACCAGUGGCGAAGGCGGCUCACUGGUCCAUUUCUGACGCUGAUGCGCGAAAGCUAGGGGAGCAAACAGG
RNAcentral lists this unclassified non-coding RNA (253 nucleotides) under uncultured bacterium. RNAcentral's name for it is "contains 16S-23S intergenic spacer region". It matches the Rfam family "Bacterial small subunit ribosomal RNA", at positions 524 to 776 of the family's 1533-position model. The record is from RNAcentral.